This 1704-nucleotide long non-coding RNA is filed under the name Homo sapiens (human). RNAcentral's name for it is "non-protein coding lnc-GSDME-3:12". Lineage: Eukaryota; Metazoa; Chordata; Mammalia; Primates; Hominidae. The record is from RNAcentral.
CUACAGGCAUGUACACCCAGGGAUGCAAGGUGCCCAGACUGUGCAAAGCAAUGGCAGCUGCAUGGAGUCCAGAGAGAGCACCUGGAGGCCUGGAAGGCUUCCAAAAGAAAGUGAUACUUCCAAACAAAAGGAACAGGAAGUUGUUGUCUUGUCUGUCUGCCGUUCAAGAGGACUGAAUACGUUCCAUUAAAUUCGCCUGCAAACUUUUCCUGAAGAGCCCAGCAAGCAGCGAUGAAAAUUACAGAGUGGCUCCCAGGCACUUUAGUGGGUAAUCAGCUGAAAUUGAGCUGUUUUCCAUAUUCUUUGCUGAUAAUGCAAAAGGAACCUUUAAAACAAACAGCUCCAAGUCACCACACAUCCUACAAGCUGAAAGGGCCCAUGUGGUCCACACAGAUGCUCCAGCCACACACCAAGCCCUGCUGCAGAGUAAUUGGUUCCCACAGCUAUCAGAGGUGAGAGCCAGCCGACUGCCUGUGCCUUCACAAAUGGCCAGGCUGAGCUAGACGGUUUAUGGGUCCAGGGCCAAUCAUCGGGAUAAAUUAGCUGUCAGGAAGUAAAAGCAGCUCUAGGGAAAUGGCUAGGUCUGUCUAAAAUCUCUGAUUUUCUUCACACUAGGCGCAGUUUAUCCUUGAAUGGUGCUUGCUCAUGCUGUCCAGGAGACAAGGACUCUGGGUUAAAGUAUAGGAUUCAGGACUCUAGGUCUAAAUAGACCCAGGUGUUAAAUGCCCAAGAUUAUCGACCAAAGUAGAAAAAAGAUGUAGGGAUUAGAGAUUCAGGAAAAGCUAUUUCCUCUAAGAUUUUCAUGGUUCUGAAUGGAGCAUCUGGGGAGAAAAUUCAUUUGGGGGUUGGGUUGCUAAGAGGCCAAGAGAAGGGAAAAUGGAAAGGACGCUAGCGUGACACAUGGUGGGACAUGCAGGGAGGGGCAAUGGACCCAGGCUUGAUUCAGAUGCCAACUUGCCAUGCCCUGGCUAUGUGUAAGCCAAAAAUGUAUCUGAGACAGGCCUCAAUCAAUUUAUUUUGCAAGGUUAAGGAUCAUGACCCACGGCCUUAGGAGGGCCUGAGAACAUGUGCCCAAAGUGGCUGGGUUACAGCUUGGUUUUGUAUUUUUAGGGAGAUAUAAGACAUCAAUCAAUAUGUGCGAGGUAUACAUUGGAUUGGUCUGGAAAAGUGGGACAACUUGAAGCACGGGCUUACAGGUCAUAGGUGAAUUCAAAGGUUUUCUGAUUGGCAAGUGGCUGAAAAGAGUUAAGUUACUAUCUAAAAGCCUGGAAUCAAUAGAAAGGAGUGUCUGGGUUAAGAUAAGGGGUUGUGGAGAUCAAAGUUCUUAUUAUGUAGAUAAGUCUCACAGAAGGCUGCCCUUAGAAGCAAUAGAUGGCAAAUGUUUCCUAUUCAGACCUUUCAAAGGUCCUAGACUCAGCCAGGCGCAGUGGCUCACGCCUGUAAUCCCUGCACUUUGGGAGACCGAGGUGGGCGGAUCACCUGAGGUCGGGCGUUCGAGACCAGCCUGACCAACAUAGAGAAACCCCUUCUCUACUAAAAAUACAAAAUUAGCCGGGUGUGGUGGCGCAUGCCUGUAAUCCCAACUAGGCAGAGGUUGCAGUGAGCCAAGAUCGCGCCAUUGCACUCCAGCCUGGGCAACAAGAGCGAAACUCUGUCUCAAAAAAAAAAAAAAUAUGCUAGACUCUCAGCUAAUCUCUUCAGGAU